This 689-nucleotide long non-coding RNA is filed under the name Nicotiana tabacum (common tobacco). RNAcentral's name for it is "long non-coding RNA (NTAB_LNC015084)". Lineage: Eukaryota; Viridiplantae; Streptophyta; Magnoliopsida; Solanales; Solanaceae. The record is from RNAcentral.
UAGGUACUGCGUUUAUUUGUCGCUGCAUUAGAGUUAGAGUUGAGAUAAAUGCUGAUUUCUUCAAUUGUAAGUUUUCAUGAACCUUUCUAAUUACAAUUUUACAUCUUCUCUUUCCCCUACCAAAUAGGAGUAUUAUUUUUGCAAUAUUAAACUUGCUGUGCCUUCUCAGGAUAACAAGUUUCUAUAAUAUUUUUACAAUAGUGGACUUGCUAUGCCUUCUCAUGAUAACAUAUUUCUCCGAAUAUAAAAAUUAUGAGCUUUUAUGAUCCUUCUCAAUUCUAACUUUAUCUUACAAUGUUGGAAUUGCUUUGUAUUUUCAGGAUUAACGUGUUUCUCUAUAUAUAUACUCAAUUGCUAAAUCUGAACAAGAUACAUUCAGAUCGAAAGAGAAAAACACUCUCUUUUGAGGCUAAGGACCGAGAUGAUGGCAAUCAAUUUCGGGAGAAGAAAUGCCACUGCUAAAAAGUUUUUAGUUACAAUUAUCUCAUGAAUCAAUAUUACGAUUGUAAUUAGCCUCUUUCUAUUAAUAAUAUAUUGGAUAUCAGCAAAUAGAUUUUUUGAGAGAUUUGAGGAAAUAGUAGAAAUUGGAAUUUCGUCCGUGGGAUAAACAGUUACUAGAGCAUCUAUGAAAUCUUAAAAUUGCUAUGCCCUUUUUGCCUCUGUUUCAUCUAUUUGCUUCUCCUAUUCAA